AGAUGAUGGAAAAUAGUUUAAAAGAAAUUAAUUCAUGGGAGAAGAUCUGUGCAGCAUCACAAACUGCAGGAGAAUUAAACAGAGAGGAAAAGAAACAUGGCAAACAAAGUGGACGAGAUACAAUGUAAUGAACCAGAAGAGAAGAAGAUCCUGAGACGAGUCAGACGGAACAGUAUUAAUAGUGGAAGACCAAACUUUUGUGAUGAUGCAGAAAGUUUUAUUCAGAGAGACUCACAGACGAGACAGGAGCAGCUCCUUUCACCAGACCAGCAGAAUAUACUUUAUAUUCAGUCUCUAACUAAACACUGCUUUUUUUUAGAUAGUUUGUUGUAUUUUUGUGUUACUGUAUAUUCAAAAUAUUAUAGACCUACUGUAUAUAACAAGCCAAUAUCAACUAAUAUCAACUUCAUUCACUGUACAAUUUUACACUGUAUAAAACUAAGAACUGGAGCAUUAUCUGGAAUACUAUUGUUGAAAUUUACUAGCAAUUUGUUUUACUGUAUGAUGCUAUGUUUCUAAAACUAUUACAAUAUUUCAUAGUGACAAAAAUGUAUGUUUAAAAAAAAGUGUAUUUUAUAAAACUAAUUUUAUGAUUUUUAUUGCAAUACAUCUGUAUAUACUGAUAAAAAAUAAAAUAUUUUUCUCUUCAAUAUUUUGAUUUUGU
Long non-coding RNA from Cyprinus carpio (common carp), 664 nucleotides. NCBI's taxonomy places the organism in Eukaryota, Metazoa, Chordata, Actinopteri, Cypriniformes, Cyprinidae. The record is from Ensembl.